AUACAGAGGGUGCAAGCGUUGUUCGGAAUUAUUGGGCGUAAAGCGCGUGUAGGCGGGAUGGUGUGUCGGGUGUGAAAGCCCUCAGCUCAACUGAGGAAGUGCGCCCGAAACUGCCGUUCUUGAGUGUCGGAGAGGGUGACGGAAUUCCCGGUGUAGAGGUGAAAUUCGUAGAUAUCGGGAGGAACACCAGUGGCGAAGGCGGUCACCUGGACGAACACUGACGCUGAGACGCGAAAGCGUGGGUAGCAAACAGGAUUAGAUACCCUGGUAGUCCACGCCGUAAACGAUGAGUGCUAGCUGUUGCGGGUGUUGACCCCUGCAGUGGCGAAGCUAACGCAUUAAGCACUCCGCCUGGGAAGUACGGCCGCAAGGCUAAA
This 377-nucleotide ribosomal RNA is filed under the name uncultured bacterium. RNAcentral describes it as "bacterial SSU rRNA". It matches the Rfam family "Bacterial small subunit ribosomal RNA", at positions 523 to 898 of the family's 1533-position model. The record is from RNAcentral.